CCUACGGUGCGCAGCAGUGGGGAAUAUUGCACAAUGGGGGAAACCCUGAUGCAGCGACGCCGCGUGAGUGAAGAAGUAAUUCGUUAUGUAAAGCUCUAUCAGCAGGGAAGAAAAUGACGGUACUUGAGUAAGAAGCCCCGGCUAACUACGUGCCAGCAGCCGCGGUAAUACGUCGGGGGCCAGCGUUAUCCGGAUUUACUGGGUGUAAAGGGAGCGUAGACGGCAGUGCAAGUCUUGAGUGAAAGGCGGGGGCUCAACCCCCAGACUGCUCUGGAAACUGUACGGCUUGAGUGCAGGAGAGGUAAGUGGAAGUCCUAGUGUAGCGGGGAAAUGCGUAGAUAUUAGGAGGAACACCAGUGGCGAAGGCGGCUUACUGGACUGUAACUGACGUUGAGGCUCGAAAGCGUGGGGAGCAAACAGGAUUAGAUACCCUAGUAGUC
RNAcentral lists this ribosomal RNA (440 nucleotides) under uncultured bacterium. RNAcentral's name for it is "partial 16S ribosomal RNA". It matches the Rfam family "Bacterial small subunit ribosomal RNA", at positions 338 to 795 of the family's 1533-position model. The record is from RNAcentral.